ACACGUGCUACAAUGGACAAUACAAAGGGCAGCGAAACCGCGAGGUCAAGCAAAUCCCAUAAAGUUGUUCUCAGUUCGGAUUGUAGUCUGCAACUCGACUAUAUGAAGCUGGAAUCGCUAGUAAUCGUAGAUCAGCAUGCUACGGUGAAUACGUUCCCGGGUCUUGUACACACCGCCCGUCACACCACGAGAGUUUGUAACACCCGAAGCCGGUGGAGUAACCAUUUGGAGCUAGCCGUCGAAGGUGGGACAAAUGAUUGGGGUGAAGUCGUAACAAGGUAGCCGUAUCGGAAGGUGCGGCUGGAUCACCUCCUUUCUAAGGA
RNAcentral lists this ribosomal RNA (323 nucleotides) under Staphylococcus epidermidis. RNAcentral describes it as "bacterial SSU rRNA". It matches the Rfam family "Bacterial small subunit ribosomal RNA", at positions 1218 to 1533 of the family's 1533-position model. RNAcentral also lists the same sequence under 1 other name. The record is from RNAcentral. Lineage: Bacteria; Bacillati; Bacillota; Bacilli; Caryophanales; Staphylococcaceae.